CUCGUCAGCUCUCUCUGAGCUGUGCUCUGUGUUGCAGGCGUACCGCUGGAUGAUCGACUCUCGUGAUGAUUACACUGAGGAGAGGCUCUCCCAGCUCCAGGACCCCUUCUCUCUGUACCGCUGUCACACCAUCAUGAACUGCACCAGAACCUGCCCGAAGGGUUUGAAUCCAGGCUUAGCCAUCGCCGAGAUCAAGAAGAUGAUGGCCACCUACAAAGAGAAGAAGACGGCGUCGGCGUGAACGUCUCGCUUAAAUGAA
Molecule: long non-coding RNA, 259 nt
Organism: Sinocyclocheilus anshuiensis
Lineage: Eukaryota; Metazoa; Chordata; Actinopteri; Cypriniformes; Cyprinidae
Exons: 2
Source: RefSeq, a predicted model, not a curated record